UACGAAGGGGGCUAGCGUUGCUCGGAAUUACUGGGCGUAAAGGGCGCGUAGGCGGAUAUUUAAGUUAGAGGUGAAAGCCCAGGGCUCAACCCUGGAACAGCCUUUAAUACUGGAUAUCUUGAGUUCGGGAGAGGUGAGUGGAACUCCGAGUGUAGAGGUGAAAUCCGUAGAUAUUCGGAAGAACACCAGUGGCGAAGGCGACUUACUGGACGAUUGUUGACGCUGAGGUGCGAAAGCGUGGGGAGCAAACAGG
Molecule: ribosomal RNA, 253 nt
Filed under: uncultured prokaryote
Description: partial 16S ribosomal RNA
Rfam family: Bacterial small subunit ribosomal RNA
Source: RNAcentral